CUUUCUUCAGCAAGGAUGAACAUGGAAACGUUAGGGAAAAUGCAUUCUGGCUUUACAGGGUUUCCUUCAUGUUGUACAGUGUAUUCACCUGGCUGAUCACAGUUCUGAUUGGCUACUUGGCUAGUCAUGUGACCAGUAAGGUUCUGAACCAAGAAGACAUUCCUGUCAACCCUGCUCUAAUAACUCCCCUAUUUAGACCCAGGCAAAGAGGAAAUAUCCAGGAGUGCUCCCAUGACAGGACCAGACAUGGCAUCCAAGUUUCAACGUGUAAGGGAGAUAUACCUGCAGUAUAUACCAGCAGUGAAGAACCUCUUCAGCCAAACGCUGAAUGAAAACCACCCGCUCUAGCAGUAGACUACACAAAACUGGACGGUCCCUAUGCAACAAAAAUCACAUGACUACACCCAAAUGCAGGACUGAAAGAAUGAAAAAAUCAUUUCUGCAUCAGGCGAUAAGCCUCUACAACACGGACUUGUAAAUAUCUGUGACAUAGUGGACACUAUAGAACCCGAUUUUAUUGUCUAUGCCAAUUUUUUAUAUGUAAAUUUUAACGUGUAUGUGUAUAUGAACAACAGAUGUUAGCGGACAAUUGACGUCUUUUAUGUGUUUUGUGAAAUUUGUUGCGUAAUUCUGGCUGCAAUGCACAUUUUGGUGUUGAAUAAACUAAAAGCUCAUGGGUGUAACAUACCCAGUGACUCCUGCAAUAAUGCAAGAACCCAAUAGAUACAUUUAUGGUUUGAAAAGAACCCAAAAUAUCCCAAUUAAAUCAUUUUAAAGCAGGUGACAUCAAAACUGUGAAUUGAGUCUUCUAGAUCUGUGCAUAUGUUCAAACUACCCACAUAUGACACCUUUCAGGUCAUUUGGGACAGGAGUCACCCCUCCAAAAAAAAACUCUGUUAAAAGGAUUUAAAAGCGUCAAUUGAAAAAUGGGGCAAAUGGUACAACAAAUCUAUAUAAGUUAUCAACAAUCAAACUGAAAGCUCAUUUAUGUUGCUAAAAUCUAUGUCCAAAGCUAAAGCUUAAAACAUAGACCAAACCAAAACCUAACAAGAGCUCAGAGACCUCAUACCUCCAUGAAAUAUCUUGGAGUUUUGUCAAUUUCUUGCCACAUCUUGUGUCAUAUAUCGAUUGAGAAAUCAUAAUGAU
Branchiostoma floridae (Florida lancelet) is the source of this 1146-nucleotide long non-coding RNA. RefSeq lists it as uncharacterized. The record is from RefSeq and is a predicted model, not a curated record. The transcript has 3 exons. Lineage: Eukaryota; Metazoa; Chordata; Leptocardii; Amphioxiformes; Branchiostomatidae.